Molecule: unclassified non-coding RNA, 359 nt
Filed under: soil metagenome
Description: partial contains 5.8S ribosomal RNA, internal transcribed spacer 2, and large subunit ribosomal RNA
Rfam family: 5.8S ribosomal RNA (bases 1-120)
Source: RNAcentral
GAUGAAGAACGUAGCGAAAUGCGUUAAGUAAUGUGAAUUGCAGAAUUCAGUGAAUCAUCGAAUCUUUGAACGCACAUUGCGCCCGCCAGUAUUCUGGCGGCCAUGCCUGUCCGAGCGUCAUUUCAACCCUCGGGCCCCCCUCUGCGGGCGGCCCGGCGUUGGGGCUCAGGCGCCGUCUCUGCUCGGCGCCUGUCCCCUAAAUGCAGUGGCGGCCUCGCCGCUGCCUCCUCCGCGUAGUAGCACAAACCUCGCGGCUGGAAGGCGGCGCGGCCACGCCGUAAAACCCCCCAACUUUUUAUAGUUGACCUCGAAUCAGGUAGGACUACCCGCUGAACUUAAGCAUAUCAAUAAGCGGAGGA